GAUGAACGCUAGCUACAGGCUUAACACAUGCAAGUCGAGGGGCAGCAUGACGAUAGCUUGCUAUUGUUGAUGGCGAUCGGCGCACGGGGGAGUAACGCGUAUCCAAUCUGCUCUUGUCCAACGGAUAACCCGUAUAAAGGCGGACUAACACGGUAUGCCGCCCACAGCAGACAUCUAACGUGGACGAUAUGUGAAGGAGAAGGAUGGGGCUGCGUCUGAGUAGCUUGUUGGCGGGGUAACGGCCCACCAAAGCGACGAUCGGUAGGGGUUCUGAGAGGAAGGUCCCCCACAUUGGAACUGAGACACGGUCCAAACUCCUACGGGAGGCAGCAGUGAGGAAUAUUGGUCAAUGGGCGAGAGCCUGAACCAGCCAAGUAGCGUGUAGGAAGACGGCCCUAUGGGUUGUAAACUGCUUUUAUACGGGGAUAAAGUGAGUCACGUGUGGCUUAUUGCAGGUACCGUAUGAAUAAGGACCGGCUAAUUCCGUGCCAGCCGCCGCUGUAA
RNAcentral lists this ribosomal RNA (504 nucleotides) under uncultured bacterium. Its description in RNAcentral is "partial 16S ribosomal RNA". It matches the Rfam family "Bacterial small subunit ribosomal RNA", at positions 28 to 523 of the family's 1533-position model. The record is from RNAcentral.